RNAcentral lists this ribosomal RNA (253 nucleotides) under uncultured bacterium. RNAcentral describes it as "partial 16S ribosomal RNA". It matches the Rfam family "Bacterial small subunit ribosomal RNA", at positions 524 to 776 of the family's 1533-position model. The record is from RNAcentral.
UACGUAGGGUGCAAGCGUUGCCCGGAUUUAUUGGGCGUAAAGGGCGCGUAGGCGGCCUUCUAAGUCGGACGUGAAAUCCCUCGGCUCAACCGAGGAACUGCGUCCGAUACUGAAAGGCUUGAAUCCGGGAGAGGGAUGUGGAAUUCCAGGUGUAGCGGUGAGAUGCGUAGAUAUCUGGAGGAACACCGGUGGCGAAGGCGGCAUCCUGGACCGGCAUUGACGCUGAGGCGCGAAAGCUAGGGGAGCAAACGGG